AGGGGCAUAGGUCAGUGGUAGAGCACAUGCUUAGCAUGCUUAAGGUCCUGGGUUCAAUCCCCAGUCCCUCCA
RNAcentral lists this transfer RNA (72 nucleotides) under Camelus bactrianus (Bactrian camel). It matches the Rfam family "tRNA". From Rfam's summary of the family: Transfer RNA (tRNA) molecules are approximately 80 nucleotides in length. RNAcentral also lists the same sequence under 2 other names. The record is from Rfam by way of RNAcentral. Lineage: Eukaryota; Metazoa; Chordata; Mammalia; Artiodactyla; Camelidae.